AUGGCCAGUACAGUGGUAGCAGUUGGACUGACCAUUGCUGCUGCAGGAUUUGCAGGCCGUUAUGUUUUGCAAGCCAUGAAGCAUAUGGAGCCUCAAGUAAAACAAGUUUUUCAAAGCCUACCAAAAUCUGCCUUCAGUGGUGGCUAUUAUAGAGGUGGGUUUGAACCCAAAAUGACAAAACGGGAAGCAGCAUUAAUACUAGGUGUAAGCCCUACUGCCAAUAAAGGGAAAAUAAGAGAUGCUCACUGACGAAUUAUGCUUUCAAAUCAUCCUGACAAAGGAGGAUCUCCUUAUAUAGCAGCCAAAAUCAAUGAAGCUAAAGAUUUACUAGAAGGUCAAGCUAAAAAAUGA
Molecule: long non-coding RNA, 351 nt
Filed under: Homo sapiens (human)
Lineage: Eukaryota; Metazoa; Chordata; Mammalia; Primates; Hominidae
Description: non-protein coding lnc-FANCM-8:3
Source: RNAcentral